RNAcentral lists this ribosomal RNA (447 nucleotides) under Triticum aestivum (bread wheat). Its description in RNAcentral is "partial small subunit ribosomal RNA". Lineage: Eukaryota; Viridiplantae; Streptophyta; Magnoliopsida; Poales; Poaceae. The record is from RNAcentral.
GCAAUUAGAAGAAAACAUAAAUCAGAAUAACAUUUUUGGAUUGAAACCCCACUUUGCCCUGACCGGCUCCGUCUCCAACCACUUCCCCCAAAUCCCGGCGCCGCCGCCGCCGCGAGAAUCUCUCCAUCCACUCCCCCGAGUCCCCAGGAUGGCUCGUCUCGGCUCCACGACCGGGAACGGCGCGGCCAUGGUCGGUCGACAGCCCGCGCUGGCUCCUCGGCCAAGCGAGGCGGCUUGGGGGCGCCUCGGCCGCUGAGGCUCGCCGGUGGAGGCGCAGGGCGGCGGCGGCCCUCCUCUCCCUGCGGAUUCCUUCACGGCCGGACCGCCCCGACGUCCACGCCGGGCGGUGUACAAGGCCAAGGGCCGCCACGACCUCGACAUGAUCGUGGCAUACAAGCUUCGCCUCGAGCAGGAUCAUCUCCUCCCUUCCUUCCUCAAGGAGACCAG